This is a long non-coding RNA of Capsella rubella, 329 nucleotides long. RefSeq lists it as uncharacterized. The transcript has 3 exons. The record is from RefSeq and is a predicted model, not a curated record. NCBI's taxonomy places the organism in Eukaryota, Viridiplantae, Streptophyta, Magnoliopsida, Brassicales, Brassicaceae.
CUAGAUUUAUACUGGCCAAGGAUGACAUCACGCGGGUCUAGUUUGCGAAUUGAUCUCAAAACCUUCACCUGAAGAAGCAUUUUUUUCACAAGGUUGACCUUUUCAUUCCGGAUAUCUUCACCAUCGAGACUUAUCGGAGGUUCCAUGGUAAGUAAUGCGAUUGUCUGAAGUAUAUGGCUGUGCACUAUGUCCCGUAUUAUUCCAUAUCCAUCAGAAUACCUUCAAAAAAUGCAGUAGGAAAUUAGGUUAUAGACAAAGUGAACAGACCAGAAUGUGGAAGAGGAAAGUCCAGGCACUAUACACAACUAUAAACAUCUACCUGUAUAUUG